GCCUCGGCGGGGUCACGCCCCGGGUGCGUCGCAGCCCCGGAACCAGGCGCCCGCCGGAGGAACCAACCAAACUCUUUCUGUAGUCCCCUCGCGGACGUAUUUCUUACAGCUCUGAGCAAAAAUUCAAAAUGAAUCAAAACUUUCAACAACGGAUCUCUUGGUUCUGGCAUCGAUGAAGAACGCAGCGAAAUGCGAUAAGUAAUGUGAAUUGCAGAAUUCAGUGAAUCAUCGAAUCUUUGAACGCACAUUGCGCCCGCCAGUAUUCUGGCGGGCAUGCCUGUCCGAGCGUCAUUUCAACCCUCGAACCCCUCCGGGGGAUCGGCGUUGGGGAUCGGGACCCCUCACACGGGUGCCGGCCCCUAAAUACAGUGGCGGUCUCGCCGCAGCCUCUCCUGCGCAGUAGUUUGCACAACUCGCACCGGGAGCGCGGCGCGUCCACGUCCGUAAAACACCCAACUUUCUGAAAUGUUGACCUCGGAUCAGGUAGGAAUACCCGCUGAACUUAACCAUAUCAAUGAAGCCCGAGGGAAA
This 531-nucleotide ribosomal RNA is filed under the name Trichoderma asperellum. RNAcentral's name for it is "eukaryotic LSU rRNA". The stretch from base 138 to 291 matches the Rfam family "5.8S ribosomal RNA". Lineage: Eukaryota; Fungi; Ascomycota; Sordariomycetes; Hypocreales; Hypocreaceae. The record is from RNAcentral.